CUGGCAGUGCGUCUUAAGCAUGCAAGUCAGACGGAAUGUAGUAAUACAUUCAGUGGCGAACGGGUGAGUAACGCGUGGAUAAUCUGCCUACGAGAUGGGGAUAACUAUUAGAAAUAAUAGCUAAUACCGAAUAAAGUCAAUUGAGUUGUUAGUUGAUGAAAGGAAGCCUUUAAAGCUUCGCUUGUAGAUGAGUCUGCGUCUUAUUAGCUAGUUGGUAGGGUAAGAGCCUACCAAGGCUAUGAUAAGUAACCGGCCUGAGAGGGUGAUCGGUCACACUGGAACUGAGAUACGGUCCAGACUCCUACGGGAGGCAGCAGCUAAGAAUCUUCCGCAAUGGGCGAAAGCCUGACGGAGCGACACUGCGUGAACGAAGAAGGUCGAAAGAUUGUAAAGUUCUUUUAUAAAUGAGGAAUAAGCUUUGUAGGAAAUGACAAGGUGAUGACGUUAAUUUAUGAAUAAGCCCCGGCUAAUUACGUGCCAGCAGCCGCGGUAAUACGUAAGGGGCGAGCGUUGUUCGGGAUCAUUGGGCGUAAAGGGUGAGUAGGCGGAUAUGUAAGUCUAUGUGUAAAAUACCACGGCUCAACUGUGGAACUAUGCUAGAAACUGCAUGACUAGAGUCUGAUAGGGGAAGUUAGAAUUC
RNAcentral lists this ribosomal RNA (640 nucleotides) under Candidatus Borrelia lonestari. RNAcentral's name for it is "bacterial SSU rRNA". It matches the Rfam family "Bacterial small subunit ribosomal RNA", at positions 36 to 669 of the family's 1533-position model. Lineage: Bacteria; Pseudomonadati; Spirochaetota; Spirochaetia; Spirochaetales; Borreliaceae. The record is from RNAcentral.